This 499-nucleotide ribosomal RNA is filed under the name uncultured bacterium. Its description in RNAcentral is "partial 16S ribosomal RNA". It matches the Rfam family "Bacterial small subunit ribosomal RNA", at positions 28 to 507 of the family's 1533-position model. The record is from RNAcentral.
GACGAACGCUGGCGGCGUGCCUAAUACAUGCAAGUCGAGCGAAGAGUUUCUGGUGUUUGCACUAGAAAAACUUAGCGGGGAAGGUGUGAGUAACACGGAAAGAACAUGCCUAAUAGACUGGUACAAUUAGGGGAAAGGAUAGCUAAUACCGGAUAACAGCAUUAACUGCAUGGUUGAUGUUUAAAAGUUGGUUUUGCUAACAUUAUGAGAUGGCUUUGCGGUGCAUUAGCUAGUUGGUGGGGUAAAGGCUUACCAAGGCGACGAUGCAUAGCCGACCUGAGAGGGUGAUCGGCCACACUGGAACUGAGACACGGCCCAGACUCCUACGGGAGGCAGCAGUAGGGAAUCUUCCGCAAUGGGCGAAAGCCUGACGGAGCAACGCCGCGUGAGUGAUGAAGGAUUUCGGUUCGUAAAACUCUGUUAUUAGGGAAGAAUGAUUGUGUAGUAACUAUACAACGUAGAGACGGUACCUAACCAGAAAGCCACGGCUAACUACGUG